Molecule: long non-coding RNA, 423 nt
Filed under: Hordeum vulgare
Lineage: Eukaryota; Viridiplantae; Streptophyta; Magnoliopsida; Poales; Poaceae
Description: long non-coding RNA (HVUL_LNC000608)
Source: RNAcentral
GCGAGGGUAAGCUUGAGGUCAUGGAUCGGAGCCAGGAGCUACGAUGAUGUUGAACAUGCCCUAAGUUGGUGAUGCUUAAACUGAAAGCCGUCCUUGAUGUACACAUGUCUUUGUAGUAUGCUAAUGUGUUGUCGUCUGUUUUUGUCGUUUUCCUUUACCGACCCGUAACAACAUCCCAUUAGCACAUGACAUGAAUCAAUACAUGAUCAUUUGCUCGUUUCUUUGUAUGGAUUAAAUCUACAUGUGAGCCGUGUUGAAAUAGAAAACAUGUGAAAUCUUGAACUGUGUUUUUGUAGGCUAAGAUCAUCUUUAUUUGAACUGUGUUUUUGUAGGCUAAGAUCAUCUUUAUUUGGGUCGUAGCUAUAAAUUCUUGGAUUAUAAACCAUUUUUUCUAAACUAAAAGUGUGUGGUAUUCUUUUACCC